CCUACGGGUGGCAGCAGUCGAGAAUCAUUCACAAUGGGGGAAACCCUGAUGGUGCGACGCCGUGUGGGGGAAUGAAGGUCUUCGGAUUGUAAACCCCUGUCAUGUGGGAGCAAAUUAAAAAGAUAGUACCACAAGAGGAAGAGACGGCUAACUCUGUGCCAGCAGCCGCGGUAAUACAGAGGUCUCAAGCGUUGUUCGGAAUCACUGGGCGUAAGGCGUGCGUAGGCUGUUUCGUAAGUCGUGUGUGAAAGGCGCGGGCUCAACCCGCGGACGGCACAUGAUACUGCGAGACUAGAGUAAUGGAGGGGGAACCGGAAUUCUCGGUGUAGCAGUGAAAUGCGUAGAUAUCGAGAGGAACACUCGUGGCGAAGGCGGGUUCCUGGACAUUAACUGACGCUGAGGCACGAAGGCCAGGGGAGCGAAAGGGAUUAGAUACCCGGGUAGUC
RNAcentral lists this ribosomal RNA (446 nucleotides) under uncultured bacterium. RNAcentral describes it as "partial 16S ribosomal RNA". It matches the Rfam family "Bacterial small subunit ribosomal RNA", at positions 338 to 795 of the family's 1533-position model. The record is from RNAcentral.